GAUGAACGCUGGCGGCGUGCCUAAUACAUGCAAGUCGAGCGAACGGACGAGAAGCUUGCUUCUCUGAUGUUAGCGGCGGACGGGUGAGUAACAAGUGGAUAACCUCCCUUUAAGAAUGGGAUAAAUUCGGGAAACCGUAGCUAAUACCGGAUAAUAUUUUGAACCGCAUGGUUCAAAAGUGAAAGACGGUCUUGCUGUCACUAAUAGAUGGAUCCGCGCUGCAGUAGCUAGUUGGUAAGGUAACGGCUUACCAAGGCAACAAUGCAUAGCCGACCUGAGAGGGUGAUCGUCCACGCUGUGACUGAGACACGGUCCAGACUCCUACGGGGGGCAGCAGUAGGGAAUCUUCCGCAAUGGGCGAAAGCCUGACGGAGCAACGCCGCGUGAGUGAUGAAGGUCUUCGGAUCGUAAAACUCUGUUAUUAGUGAAGAACAAAUGUGUAAGUAACUGUGCACAUCUUGACGGUACCUAAGCAGAAAGCCACGGCUAAAUACGUG
RNAcentral lists this ribosomal RNA (497 nucleotides) under uncultured bacterium. Its description in RNAcentral is "partial 16S ribosomal RNA". It matches the Rfam family "Bacterial small subunit ribosomal RNA", at positions 28 to 507 of the family's 1533-position model. The record is from RNAcentral.